Molecule: ribosomal RNA, 490 nt
Filed under: uncultured bacterium
Lineage: Bacteria
Description: partial 16S ribosomal RNA
Rfam family: Bacterial small subunit ribosomal RNA
Source: RNAcentral
AGUGAACGCUGGCGGCAGGCCUAACACAUGCAAGUCGAACGGUAACAGGAAGAAGGUUGCUUCUUUGCUGACGCGUGGCGGACGGGGGAGUAAUGUCUAGGAAACUGCCUGAUGGAGGGGGAGAACUACUGGAAACGGUAGCGAAUACCGCAUAACGUCGCAAGACCAAAGAGGGGGGCCUUCGCGCCUCUUGCCAGCGGAUGUGCCCAGAUGGGAUUAGCUAGUGGGUGGGGUAACGGCGCACCUAGGCGACGAUCCCUAGCUGGUCUGAGAGGAUGACCAGCCACACUGGAACUGAGACACGGUCCAGACUCCUACGGGAGGCAGCAGUGGGGAAUAUUGCACAAUGGGCGCAAGCCUGAUGCAGCCAUGCCGCGUGUAUGAAGAAGGCCUUCGGGUUGUAAAGUCCUUUCAGCGGGGAGGAAGGGAAUAAAGUUAAUACCUUGGCGUAUUGACGUUACCCGCAGAAGAAGCACCGGCUAACUCCGUG